GAGCAUGUCUUCAAGUUUUUCAUUUAUUUUUAUGUAUAACAGAAACUGAUAAGAAUUGUAGUUGAAAGGGAGAAAAAUGAUGAGUGCAGAAUAAAAGUUUGUUCCUGAGAUUCCCUUUGCAGCAGCACAAGCUGCAAUCAUUUUGACAGAGGAUUUAAAGAGACACGGAAAAGGAAUGUGGGAAGUAUUUUUCCCUCCAGUUCUUUUUAACACAAGAAAGAAAACUGGUUUCUAUGCUAGAAUUUUUUUUUCAGCUAUUCUUUUCUUGAUUUUUAAUCAAAAGAAUUAAGAAAAUAAGUCUGAAAAACUGAGAGGAGGAAUUGCUUGCCCUGUUUUAAAACAUUUUGGUUUUUUGCAUUGCCUAUUGUUGCAUCAUGUCCUCUCAAAUACAUUGUCAGGUAGCUGAGGAAAAACAGUCUAAUGAUUGGUUUCACUGCUGAAGGCCAAAUAUUCCCUAUGAAGGACAUGCUGAAACCUCCCCCAGCACCUGACAUUUGGAUAUGUUCACAGUGGUAAUAACAUCCAAGACUUUGUUUUAUUUGUUGAGGGAAAAUGUUACUCAGUAAUAUUCUGUCCUUCAUGCUUUACUUACAUAUUUGAAGAAGGAAUCAAAUAACCAGUAUAAAGAGCCUGCACUAUCUGUAUAAAAAUUACAAGUGUUUACCUGGCUUUUCUUACUGUCCUUCAGCAGGUGUUAGGUGCCUGGAUUUCUGUCAGCUGCCUUGGGUAAAAAGGGUCAGCUGUGAGCAGCCUAUCCUGAGCAGGCCUCAUGAGCAUUACAUUGGCUGCUGCCUUCUGUUUCUGAGGAGAGAACAUGCUAGAUUUAUUGCAAGUGAUAGGUGACUCUCAUACUCCUCAUUUUUCUUGAGGAUGGAUUUGGAUUCUGUACUGUAUCCCAGGGAGGAAACAUGCUAUAAAAUACUGGAUUCAGCUGAGAUGGCAGGUGUUCAGAGUUAAUGAAAAGAAAGCAAUCAACCAGCAAACAUUCAUCAUACAAGUCUGGUACAAACUGGGACUGAGAAGCCCGUUGCACAAGGAAGCAGGCAUCCAUGUUUCUCACAGCCCUUGCAUAAAGGAUAUACAGUUGCUAACAAAUAGUGGAGGAAGAACUCUGA
RNAcentral lists this long non-coding RNA (1115 nucleotides) under Numida meleagris (helmeted guineafowl). RNAcentral describes it as "lncRNA (ENSNMEG00000002474.1)". The record is from RNAcentral. Lineage: Eukaryota; Metazoa; Chordata; Aves; Galliformes; Numididae.